ACGAUGAGAAGGAUCCUGAUGCAGCACUAGGCCAGCUUUUAUCUGCCCUAAAAGCAGGGUGAAUAAGUGGUGGGUAAGACGGGUGCCAGCCGCCGCGGUAAUACCCGCGCCACUAAUAGUGAUCACGCUUAUUGGGUCUAAAGAGUCCGUAGCCGGUCANACAAGUUCUUGGUGAAAUCUGCUAGCAAACUAACAGGCUUGCUGGGAACACUGUUUGACUUGGGAUCGGGAUAGGAUAGGGGUAUUCUGUGAGUAGGGGUUAAAUCCUUUAAUUCAUGGAAGACCUCCGGUGGCGAAGGCGCCUAUCUGGAACGAGUCCGACGGUGAGGGACGAAAGCGUGGGGAGCAAACGGGAUUAGAUACAAAAUCUCUAAUCCUAUGAUACCAAAGAUGAUUGGAUUUUUUGCUAGAAACCCCGAUAGUCCACGCUGUAAACGAUGCCUGUUUGAUGUUGCAAGCUUUACGAGAGCUUGCAGUGUCGGAGCGUAGGUGUUAAACAGGCCACCUGGGGAGUACGGCCGCAAGGUUGAACUUAAGGGAAUUGGCGGGAGAGCACACAAGGGGUGGAGGCUGCGGUUUAAUUGGAUUAGACGCCGGACAUCUCACGAGGAUUGACAGCAGAAUGAAGGUCCUCCCAAUGAGCGUACCAGACAGCUGAGAGGUGUGCAUG
This 670-nucleotide ribosomal RNA is filed under the name uncultured archaeon. Its description in RNAcentral is "bacterial SSU rRNA". It matches the Rfam family "Archaeal small subunit ribosomal RNA", at positions 367 to 996 of the family's 1478-position model. The record is from RNAcentral.